UACUAGAGUAGCACUCGCAUAUCAAUAAGCGGAGGAAAAGAAACUAACAAGGAUUCCCCUAGUAACGGCGAGUGAAGCGGGAAGAGCUCAAAUUUGAAAUCUUAAAGGGUUUCCCUUUACGAAUUGUAGUUUAAAGAAGUGUUUUCUGUUGAGGUUUUGGUAAAAGUUCUUUGGAAUAGGACAUCAUGGAGGGUGAGAAUCCCGUAUUUGACCUUUACUUUCAACUUUGUGAUACACUUUCAAAGAGUCGGAUUGUUUGGGAAUGCAGUCCAAAAUGGGUGGUAAAUUUCAUCUAAAGCUAAAUAUUGGCGAGAGACCGAUAGCGAACAAGUACCGUGAGGGAAAGAUGAAAAGAACUUUGAAAAGAGAGUUAAACAGUACGUGAAAUUGUCAAAAGGGAAGCGUUUGACACCAGUGUUGUUUUUCUGAAAAUCAAUUAAAGAACUGUUUAUGCUAAGCUGUUUAGACUUUAUCAGCUAACUGUUUAGUUUUGAGCUUUUCUUUAAUGCACUUUUCAGUUAACAAGUCAACAUCAAUUUCUUUUGCUGUAAAAAAGCUUGAGGAAGGUGGCUUGAGAUUCGUCUUAAGUGUUUAUAGCCUCUUGCCUAUGCAGUCGGAGAGAUUGAGGUCUGCAGCGUAGAUCCUUCGGGGCUAAAUGCAUUUGUGCUAAGUUAUAGCAUUUUAUAGACAACUUGUUGACUAUGAUUUGUCUUGUAGCUUACUCGCUUAUGUUAUUUUACCUACGCUUAGGAUGUUGAUAUCGCGCUCUCACUG
Molecule: ribosomal RNA, 774 nt
Filed under: uncultured Neocallimastigales
Lineage: Eukaryota; Fungi; Neocallimastigomycota; Neocallimastigomycetes; Neocallimastigales
Description: partial large subunit ribosomal RNA
Rfam family: Eukaryotic large subunit ribosomal RNA
Source: RNAcentral